RNAcentral lists this long non-coding RNA (1006 nucleotides) under Anas platyrhynchos platyrhynchos (common mallard). RNAcentral's name for it is "lncRNA (ENSAPLG00000018839.1)". The record is from RNAcentral. Lineage: Eukaryota; Metazoa; Chordata; Aves; Anseriformes; Anatidae.
GGCCAGUUCCCCAGCAACUCCAUCACCCCCAGGUGAGUGAUUCCCUCCUACACCCCCAGAAACCCGACCAUGGGGAGUGGGCGUGCUGUGCUGUCUUCCCCAGGACAUGGGGACAAGCAGAAGCUUUAGCAGGCAGGAGCUGUUCCAGCUGCAGGGAUACAUCCUGCUCCUUGUCUCUCCACAUCACACCCCGCUGCCCUCACACCCUCUGUCCCACAGCUCCACAUGCCCAGAUCCUGCACGCCCUCCCCACAGGCACACUGCUGGCAGUGGCGGCUGUCAGCCUUGUCCUCGUGUCUGCAGGCAGCUGGUUUGCCAUCAGGAAAGGUGCCUGCAGAGGGAGAUGCCCAAGGUGAGCACCAAGAGCUGCUGGCUGUGGGGUUUGCAGGAGGGAGUUGGGGGCAUGGUGGGGCCCUGGGGUGCUCCUUGUUCAGUGGUAUUCCCUGUGCAGAAGGCAGGAAGGAUGGGGCUUGUCUUGGGCUGCCCUUCAGUUCAAUGCCAAAUGCAGGAAAGCAACACCAAAGGGCAUAAGCCUCCAGACCCCUCCUCAGCACAUGCACAUCCCAGAACCUUUCCAUUCCUCUCCAGGCAGCAGCACGUUGACAGCCCACAGACGGAAGACACCAACUAUGGUGACAUCCAGUGUGAGUACUACCUCCUCCCUUGGGGGAAGCCACACGCCCCUCUCCCCAUGAAAAUACUCUGCAAGCCCCCAUUCAGUCACACCACUUCAUUUCCCACUGGGACAUACAAAAUCCCUGCCUGUUCAUCAAGGCCAGGUUUCUCUCCAGCACCUCACGUCCUGCUUCUUCCUUGCAUGCAGAGUGCGUGCGGCUGCUGGCUGCACAAGGGACAUGGCAGCAUCCCAGUGCUCAUAGGGACAAAGCCCAUUUGCCUGGGGGGUCCUUCCACAGCUGCUGCAGCCCAAGGCUUCAAUUCCCCUGCUAGGCCUCUGCUUUUGUCCUUUCUUCAGUUUUUCUACAAAGCAAUUUCUGUUUUCCUCUAG